This 71-nucleotide transfer RNA is filed under the name Loxodonta africana (African savanna elephant). It matches the Rfam family "tRNA". From Rfam's summary of the family: Transfer RNA (tRNA) molecules are approximately 80 nucleotides in length. Their secondary structure includes four short double-helical elements and three loops (D, anti-codon, and T loops). Lineage: Eukaryota; Metazoa; Chordata; Mammalia; Proboscidea; Elephantidae. The record is from Rfam by way of RNAcentral.
GCAGUGGUGGUUUGAUGGUAGAACUCUCACCUUCCAUGCAGAAGACCUGGGUUCAAUUCCCAGCCGAUGCA